RNAcentral lists this ribosomal RNA (1349 nucleotides) under uncultured marine eukaryote. RNAcentral describes it as "SSU rRNA". It matches the Rfam family "Eukaryotic small subunit ribosomal RNA", at positions 412 to 1774 of the family's 1831-position model. The record is from RNAcentral.
CCAUUUAAGGGAGGCAGCAGGCGCGCAAUUACCCAAUCCUGACUCAGGGAGGUAGUGACAAGAAAUAACAAUAAACCGGCUUAUGCCGGUUUAAUUGGAAUGAGUACAAUUUAAACAUCUUAACGAGGAACAAUUGGAGGGCAAGUCUGGUGCCAGCAGCCGCGGUAAUUCCAGCUCCAAUAGCGUAUACUAAAGUUGUUGCAGUUAAAAAGCUCGUAGUUGGAUUUCUGUGGGGACGGAGCGGCCGGCCGCACAUCGCGGUUCGAGCUAGCGCUUUCCCUACAUCCUGCCGCGAACCGUGCUACCAUUAGUUUGGUGGCGCCGGGGAUCGGCUCGAUUACUUUGAGAAAAAUAGAGUGUUCAAAGCAGGCCACAUGCCUUGAAUAAGUUAGCAUGGAAUAAUAACUAAGGACUUCGGUUCUAUUUUGUUGGUGUUCGGGACUGAAGUAAUGAUUGAUAGGGACAGUUGGGGCGGUCUGUAUUCCAAAGCGAGAGGUGAAAUUCUUAGACCUUCGGAAGACAAACAGCUGCGAAAGCGUUCCGCAAGGAUGUUCCCUUUGAUCAAGAACGAAAGUUGGGGGAUCGAAGACGAUCAGAUACCGUCGUAGUCUCAACUAUAAACUAUACCAGCUAGGGAUCGGCCAACGUUAUUUUAUACCGACUUGGUCGGCACCUUAUGAGAAAUCAAAGCAUCUGGGUUCCGGGGGGAGUAUGGUCGCAAGGCUGAAACUUAAAGGAAUUGACGGAAGGGCACCACCAGCCGUGGAGCCUGUGGCUUAAUUUGACUCAACACGGGAAAACUUACCAGGUCCAGACAUAGUAAGGAUUGACAGAUUGAUAGCUCUUUCUUGAUUCUGUGGGUGGUGGUGCAUGGCCGUUCUUAGUUGGUGGAGUGAUUUGUCUGGUUAAUUCCGUUAACGAACGAGACCCCAGCCUGCUAAAUAGCGCGAGUGAGCUUUGCUCGCUGCGAGCUUCUUAGAGGGACUAUGAUGCGCGAUAGCACAUGGAAGUUUGGGGCAAUAACAGGUCUGUGAUGCCCUUAGAUGUUCUGGGCCGCAAACGGGCUACACUGGCGCCUGCAACGAGCAUAUCAGCUGGCCCGAGAGGGUCUUGGCUAAUCUUUUGAACCGGCGCCGUGCUUGGGAUUGACCUUUGCAAUUGUUGGUCAUGCAACGAGGAAUGCCUUGUAAACGCGAGUCAUCAGCUCGCAUUGAAUACGUCCCUGCCCUUUGUACACACCGCCCGUCGCUCCUACCGAUGAAUGUUCCGAUGAAAUUUUCGGAGAGCACCUGUGAACUUGGCUCUGCCUUGCGAACGGGAGGCUCAAAGUCACUAAAAUCUGAACAUUU